GGAAACCAGAAAGGCCAGACUACUCCGCCACUGCCACACCACCCACUCAACCGCAGAAACACACACACACACACUCUGUCACACUAUCUCUCCGUCUCUUUCUCACACACACAUGCACACACACUCACAUGUACACACACACACAGGCUAACACACACACACACACACACUCUCUCACUCACUCACUCACUCUCACACUCACACACACACACACACACACACACAUACAUAUGCACACAGAGGCUAACACAUACACUCUCUCACUGUCUCUCUCACACACACACAGAUUAACACACACACACAGACUAACACACUCUUACACAAACUUUUUCUCUCUCUCACACACAGACAGACACACACACACACACACACACCCUAUCCGGAGACAGAGGUGGUUUCCUGCUUAGUGUGGGGAGAAAAGGAGGCUCCGUAAUCACAGCUCUGGUUGUGUGUGUGUCUGUGUGUGUGUGUGUGUGUGUGUGUGAGAGAGAGAAAGAGAAAGAGAGAGAAGGUUUCCCGGGUAUUGUGGGGAGAAGAGGAGGCUCCGUAAUCACAGCUCAGGCUGGGAAACCCCAACAAACAGAAUAGAAUGACUGUGUGUGUGUGUGUGUGUGUGUGUUUGUGUUUGUGUUUGCUGGGUGGGCUUAUUGCAACCUGACAGCCUUGUGGCCGGAUCUUGGAGGGAGGCUGUGUGUGUGUGUGUCGUGAGGAAGGCUGUGUGUGUGUGUUUUGUGAGGAAGGCUGUGUGUGUGUGUGUGUGUGUGUGUGUGUGUGUGUGUGUGUGUGUGUGUGUGUGUGUGUUGUGAGGAAGGCUGUGUGUGUGUGUUUUGUGAGGAAGUGUGUGUGUGUGUGUGUGUGUGUUGUGAGGAAGGCUGUGUGUGUGUGUGUGUGUGUGUUGUGAGGAAGGCUGUGUGUGUGUGUUGUGAGGAAGGCUGUGUGUGUGUGUUUUGUGAGGAAGGCUGUGUGUGUGUGUGUGUGUUGUGAGGAAGGCUGUGUGUGUGUGUGUGUGUUGUGAGGAAGACUGUGUGUGUGUGUGUGUGUGUGUGUGUGUGUUGUGAGGAAGGCUGUGUUGUGUAGAGGAGAGCUGGGUCCAGGCCAUGUCAUUCUGGAAUGUGAGUAAAAUUUGUGAUCUAGACGUGGACCUGCCUGAAUGACAACAUAAACAAAUAAACAAAUAAACAGAUAAACAAACAUCAGUGGGCAAGGCCCUCAUAGCUCCACCCUCAGGCACGACACACUUCUGCUCUGAGCCAAUCAGCUGCAUGAGCCGCUGCAGGGGGAGUGUCAGGUGGAUGGGGUCAGAGGUCGCUAGCAGCGUGUCUGAAGGAGGCAGUAUUACUCAUCUCCUUCUGCAGACAAAACACACACACACACACACACACACACACACACACACACACACACACACACACACACAUAUUCACAGGCAGACAUACACGCAUACACAUGUGCACACCACACACCA
Clupea harengus (Atlantic herring) is the source of this 1465-nucleotide long non-coding RNA. The record is from Ensembl. Lineage: Eukaryota; Metazoa; Chordata; Actinopteri; Clupeiformes; Clupeidae.